Molecule: ribosomal RNA, 119 nt
Filed under: Macleaya cordata
Lineage: Eukaryota; Viridiplantae; Streptophyta; Magnoliopsida; Ranunculales; Papaveraceae
Source: RNAcentral
GGGUGCGAUCAUACCAGCACUAAUGCACAGGAUCCCAUCAGAACUCCGCAGUCAAGCGUGCUUGGGCGAGAGUAGUACUAGGAUGGGUGACCUCUUGGGAAGUCCUCGUGUUGCACCCC